RNAcentral lists this long non-coding RNA (549 nucleotides) under Scophthalmus maximus (turbot). Its description in RNAcentral is "lncRNA (ENSSMAG00000028946.1)". The record is from RNAcentral. Lineage: Eukaryota; Metazoa; Chordata; Actinopteri; Pleuronectiformes; Scophthalmidae.
GCCCGUCCCCGUCAGCGUUGAGCCGGAUGACGGGCGGCGGGGGGCAGUUGGAACGUCAUAUGGCAGGUGGAGCGAGUAAUGUCCGGAAAAGGGGACGAGAACAGAAGUGCACAAAGAGGGCAAAUUUCACUCCAAAGACGAGGAGCAUCAAUUAUCACAGCCAGAGACAGAAGUGCUUGUGCCCGGCUGAAAUGUGACACCCUGCCUGCUCAAUGCCAGUUGCAAGUGCCCGUCCGGAGGUCGUGAUUUCAUGUAAGAUUUCUUUAAUGGUUUCCAUUAAUAUCACUCAUGUCCCUGUCCCUGUGGACGCGGCCCCGUCUCAUUCUCUCAGAGCAUUAUUUGUGCGCUCUGUGGCAAUGGGCUGUGACAGUCAGCUUUAGGAGAUUGCAAACCAACAUCGAAACCCGACCUUGCAGGGAUGACACUGCCGUUAAUCUAGGUGUUCUGGCUCCAUAAUCUAUUUCCCCCAGGAAAGCAUGUGGCGUAGCCUACUCGCCCAUAUUUCUUGCCUCUGAAAUAGAGACAACAGGGAGACGAGGAAGUGAGCAG